UAAUAUAGUAAUAAUUAUACCUCAAUUAUAAUUAUUAUUUACAUAUUAACGACAAACAAUUCCGAUUAAGUAUCUCAAAUUUGAUUUGAUUGACAUUGUCAUAACGUGUAUACAGUGAUUCUAAAAUAAAUUAUUUUUGUAAAGCCAUUUCUUGAUCAAUCAGAUUGAUUAAAUUUUUCCCUUACAAAGACAAAUUAAGAUGUUAACUUGAGAAUUACAUGACAAAAACUGUUAUGCCAAAAAGAAUACACUUUAUUUAAAAACUCACUAAUUUAUCUUAGAAGCAGUGAUACAGCCCCUAAAGAAAUGCUGAAAUAGUUAUCAAACUUGAUCAGAGUCGAUAAUGUAGAAUCAUUAGUGCACAUCAUUAACAAGAUUUCGUAUGUAUUUCUUUUAUAGAUUUGGAUAUCCUUUUUCAGAACUAAAGUACACGUAUUAAUAUUAGUUUGUAAAUUGGACUACGAGGUUUGUUAAAAAAAAAAGGUGACUUUUCAAAUUUCGCGGGCUAUGUACAUUCGAUUUUCGAAUUGUUUUUGUUUUUGUGUUGGUACACAUGUCCCCAACAUAUGUUAACACUAUCAGUCAUUUUGCAUUUUUAAUUUGUUUUCGACAGAUAUAAAGGUUAGGUGUUUUGGUGUGCUUGGCGAUUUUUUUCUAUUAAAAAAAUGGAUCAAAGAAAUAUUAAAUUUUGUGUGAAAAAUAAAAUUAAGUGCUCCGACGCAUUUAAAAUGUUGACUGUGGCAUUUGGCGAGUCUACUUUAAGCAAAAAAAGUGUUUACAAGUGGUACAACCUCUUCACAGAAGGCCGAGAAGAUGUUAAUGAUGAUGCCCGUCCUGGACGCCCCAGCAAGUCAACAACCGAUGAAAACGUUGAAGCAGUGAAGAAAAUUGUUAAGGAGAAUCGUCGUAUGGUCAAUAAGGAAUAUUACCUUGAAGUUAUGCGCCGUUUACGUGAAGCAAUACGAAAAAAACGCCCGGAAAUGUGGAACAACCAGUCAUGGAUAUUGCACCACGAUAAUGCGCCAUCAUUGCUUGUUCGUGAUUUUUUGGCCAAAAACACCGUAAUCAUGCCUCAGCCACCGUAUUCACCGGACUUGACCCCCUGCAACUUUUUCCCGUUCCCAAAACUGAAAAGACCCAUGAAAGGACGGAGGUUUGCCACGAUUGAGGAGAUAAAGAUCGCAUCGCUAGAAGAGCUCAAGACCAUACCAAAAAGCGCAUAUCAGUGCUUCGAGGAUUGGAAAAGCGCUGGCACAAGUGUAUGAUAUCUGAGGGAGAUUACUUUAAAGGGGACAACAUUGAUAUUGAUAAAUAAAUAUUUUUCGAGAAAAAUAAAAAGUCACCUUUUUUUUAACCUCGUAUACUGAGAAAAAAAAUUGUUUUGUGUUGCUCUAGUUAUCGAUUUUUCACGCGUAUGUAACCUAAAGUUUCGUAGAUCGACUUUGUCUCAAUUAAGCAUCAAAGUUCAACUUUAAGAACUUCAUAUUAUUUGUACCUGUCAUCUACUAAUCUAAAAAUUCCUGAGUAUAAAUUGCUACGAUGUGACAGUUCCAGACAUCACAUUCGACUAAAAAUAUGCAAAUUAACAAUUUUUCAGUUUUCAGAAAACUCUAAUCUAGACUGGUAAUAAUGCGUAUGCUUUAAUUCUAGAAAAGGAUUUUCAAAUCUAUAAAAGAAAUAAAGAGAUUUGGCGUUACAAAAAUUAUUGUUUCAUUGUCGGUAAAACAGACGUCUCCAGCAUCCCUUUAAUUAUUAAGACUAGAACCAGGAGACCAAACUGUAAGCCUGAUUUUGCCUCCAAAUGUGAGGCGAAAAUCUGUUAGAAAUAUAGUAUCAAAUGGUGGCGCUGGUGACGAUGAUUCACCGAAAACAAUAUGAAGUAUAUCAAUAAGCGGUUAAUUUAAAGCAACUUCAUAUUGUGAUGUUAUAUGUAAUUAUCGGGAUAUGAAAUUAAAUGGGGUCUUUUAAGCGUUUCGUGACAAACAUUUUCUUUCAUAUCCUCUCGAUAAUGGCUAACAUGUCUAUACAUAUUUUUUCGCAUAAAUGUAAUUAUAUUUAUACUCAAUUCAGCUUUCUCACACCAUACUGUGUACAUACAACCUAACACGGCCGACUACGAUAAACUUAAUUCACUUACACUUGACCGGAAGUGAAUGUUUUUUUAAAUAAUUGCUAUGUGUAAUCGUUUGUAUUUCGUAUGAAGAGGUUUGAAGUGCAAUUAAAAAGGUUUAUGAGUCAUUCGGUUAUUUGUAAUUAAUUUUUUUUUCACCCGAUACUUAGCCGGAAUAUAUUAAUUAAACAAAGUUAUGUAUUAUAUGGAAUCGUUUGAAGUUUGUAUGAAAAGUUAUAAAGUUUGAUUAAAAAAGUUUGUGAGUGAUCCAAAUACAUUUUAUUAAUUCGUGGAAGUUAGUCGAAAUUUAUUUACAAUAUGUAACAGCAUGAGCAUGCGCAGCGGUCACAUUUGCAUGCUCCUUAGCUGUAGAUGCAUGCUCUGGGCAGCAAUCAUGUAACUUUUUUCUUAAGGCGGAAACGUGAAAAGUGAAAAGUUUCAUGUAACUAUCUUUUUCUAUUGUGUUGAAUAAAAAGAGACAGUAACUUGAAACUUUUAACUUUUCACGUUUCCGCUCUAGAGGAAAAGUUACAUGAUCGAUACCCUGGGGGUCUAUUACGGUUCUUGGGUGAGUUCACUCACUGUGAAAAUGUGAAAAGUGAACAACAGUGAUUGGCGUAUAUCGUUAGUUCUAAAAGUAUACACCAAUCAGUGGAGGUAGUGCUGGAAAUGUGUAAAGUGAACUCACCUAAGAACCGUAAUAGACCCCCUGGUUCAGAGAGCACGUUUUUGGCGCUGUUAGCGUGCUUUAUCUUUCUUCAAUAUUCACUGAGCAACAAGGAUAUAAUGGUACUUUUAGUGCUAAUAGCGUCUCCCCGAACCCAGCCUCUGUAGGCACAAGUAUGCAAAAAGUGCGCGAAAUUCAAAUGUGUAUGUAUUAACGAGAAUCUUAAGCAUUUCGUUUUGCGUAGAAAGUCGCACACCUAUGUAGUGCAGAGAAUGCUUCGCUCGCACGCACGCACGCACGCACGCACACACACACACACACGGGCCCCCUUCUCGCACCUACCCCAUCCAAGUUGCUAACUCAUGUACACUGUAUUGGAAAUUUGCAAACACAUAUGAACUUUACUUUGUAAUGCACAUGGAUUAGCGACUUGGACGGGGCGGGUGUGGAAGGGAAGGGGGCGAAGACCCCCCUUACAACCGCCGCGCGCGCGCGCGAAGCAUUCUCUGCAUCACGUAGGUUUGCGACUCUCCACAUAAAACGAAAUGCUCGUAAAAAUACGUAAUUUGAAAUUUUCGCAUUUUUUGCAUGACUUGUGCUAGACCGAGCAUGCGCUUGUAGCCAAGAAGCAUGAGGAUGAGACCGCUGCGCAUGCUCAUGCUGUUACAUAUUAACACCGUCUUCAUCAUCCUCUAAUUCAGUCAAAAGUGUAGGUCCACCAGUAGUACGACCACCACCAGUACUAGAAGUCGCUACACCUCCACAGGAUUCCAAGAAAUCUUCAAGACUGACCUAGAAUCAUAAACAUUUGCGUAUUGUAUUAAGAUAAGACAUAAUCUAAUCUUUUUCAAAUAAACAA
Molecule: unclassified non-coding RNA, 3636 nt
Filed under: Monomorium pharaonis (pharaoh ant)
Lineage: Eukaryota; Metazoa; Arthropoda; Insecta; Hymenoptera; Formicidae
Description: uncharacterized LOC105833032, transcript variant X2
Source: RNAcentral